RNAcentral lists this ribosomal RNA (399 nucleotides) under uncultured bacterium. Its description in RNAcentral is "bacterial SSU rRNA". It matches the Rfam family "Bacterial small subunit ribosomal RNA", at positions 64 to 507 of the family's 1533-position model. The record is from RNAcentral.
GAACGCUCGUAGCAAUACGAGAGUGGCAGACGGGUGAGUAACACGUGGGAACGUCCCCCUCGGUUCGGAAUAACUCAGGGAAACUUGAGCUAAUACCGGAUAAGCCCUUACGGGGAAAGAUUUAUCGCCGAAAGAUCGGCCCGCGUCUGAUUAGCUAGUUGGUGAGGUAAUGGCUCACCAAGGCGACGAUCAGUAGCUGGUCUGAGAGGAUGAUCAGCCACAUUGGGACUGAGACACGGCCCAAACUCCUACGGGAGGCAGCAGUGGGGAAUAUUGGACAAUGGGCGCAAGCCUGAUCCAGCCAUGCCGCGUGAGUGAUGAAGGCCCUAGGGUUGUAAAGCUCUUUUGUGCGGGAAGAUAAUGACGGUACCGCAAGAAUAAGCCCCGGCUAACUUCGUG